ACAUCUGUGGUGGAACGGUAUACACGUGUGGUUUAGAACCACAUGCUUAACAGCGUGCAGGUUCGAAUCCUGUCAGAUGUA
RNAcentral lists this transfer RNA (81 nucleotides) under Porticoccus sp. RNAcentral's name for it is "tRNA-Leu". It matches the Rfam family "tRNA". Rfam says of the family: Transfer RNA (tRNA) molecules are approximately 80 nucleotides in length. Their secondary structure includes four short double-helical elements and three loops (D, anti-codon, and T loops). The record is from RNAcentral. Lineage: Bacteria; Pseudomonadati; Pseudomonadota; Gammaproteobacteria; Cellvibrionales; Porticoccaceae.